AUACCAGACAAUGUCACUGAGAGAUAUUCUCAUUGUCUCUCAGUUUGGAGUGUGACUCCAACCACUAACUGGAUAAUUGUGUUUGGAGGAAAGAGGAACUUUUCAACAAUCAUAAGUGAUCCAGCAGUUAUUGAACUCAGAUAUACUAGUAAUAAUGAUUGGUCUACUAGUAUAAUACCUCUGGACCAGUAUCAAGAGAAACUACAAGAAAGGAGAAGAGAAUGGGAAGCAUCUCAACCUGUUCAACCUGAGGAUAGAAGAGAA
RNAcentral lists this long non-coding RNA (264 nucleotides) under Amphimedon queenslandica. Its description in RNAcentral is "uncharacterized LOC109588497". The record is from RNAcentral. Lineage: Eukaryota; Metazoa; Porifera; Demospongiae; Haplosclerida; Niphatidae.